UGGGGAAUAUUGGACAAUGGGCGAAAGCCUGAUCCAGCCAUGCCGCAUGAGUGAAGAAGGCCUUUGGGUUGUAAAGCUCUUUUAGUGAGGAAGAUAAUGACGGUACUCACAGAAGAAGUCCUGGCUAACUCCGUGCCAGCAGCCGCGGUAAUACGGAGAGGGCUAGCGUUAUUCGGAAUUAUUGGGCGUAAAGGGCGCGUAGGCUGGUUAAUAAGUUAAAAGUGAAAUCCCGAGGCUUAACCUUGGAAUUGCUUUUAAAACUAUUAAUCUAGAGAUUGAAAGAGGAUAGAGGAAUUCCUGAUGUAGAGGUAAAAUUCGUAAAUAUUAGGAGGAACACCGGUGGCGAAGGCGUCUAUCUGGUUCAAAUCUGACGCUGAAGCGCGAAGGCGUGGGGAGCUAACA
Molecule: ribosomal RNA, 402 nt
Filed under: uncultured bacterium
Lineage: Bacteria
Description: partial 16S ribosomal RNA
Rfam family: Bacterial small subunit ribosomal RNA
Source: RNAcentral